AAACCAACAGGGAUUGCCCCAGUAACGGCGAGUGAAGCGGCAACAGCUCAAAUUUGAAAUCUGGCCCCCCGGCCCGAGUUGUAAUUUGGAGAGGAUGCUUUUGGCACGGCGCCGUCCGAGUUCCUUGGAACAGGACGCCACAGAGGGUGAGAGCCCCGUACGGACGGACGCCUAGCCUCUACAAAGCUCCUUCGACGAGUCGAGUAGUUUGGGAAUGCUGCUCAAAAUGGGAGGUAAAUUUCUUCUAAAGCUAAAUACCGGCCAGAGACCGAUAGCGCACAAGUAGAGUGAUCGAAAGAUGAAAAGCACUUUGAAAAGAGGGUUAAAAAGUACGUGAAAUUGUUGAAAGGGAAGCGCCUGUGACCAGACUUGCGCCCCGUGGACCAUCCGGCGUUCUCGCCGGUGCACUCCGCGGGGCGCAGGCCAGCAUCGGUUCUCCUAGGGGGAUAAAGGCCGCGGGAACGUAGCUCCUUCGGGAGUGUUAUAGCCCGUGGUGGCAUGCCCCUGGGGGGACCGAGGA
Molecule: ribosomal RNA, 520 nt
Filed under: Dryadomyces quercivorus
Lineage: Eukaryota; Fungi; Ascomycota; Sordariomycetes; Ophiostomatales; Ophiostomataceae
Description: LSU rRNA
Rfam family: Eukaryotic large subunit ribosomal RNA
Source: RNAcentral